Long non-coding RNA from Microtus oregoni (creeping vole), 224 nucleotides. RefSeq lists it as uncharacterized. The record is from RefSeq and is a predicted model, not a curated record. The transcript has 3 exons. Lineage: Eukaryota; Metazoa; Chordata; Mammalia; Rodentia; Cricetidae.
GCCUCGUUCGUGAGAGGGUAGAGAAGUCUUUGGGGGUGAAGUUCACGGCAUCCGCACACGGGUCCCAGAUGUUUAGUAGGAGGUGGCAUGUGCAGAGAGUAUUCCCACCCAGUGAGAAGCUCACCCGGUACCUCUCUCCCCGCCAUGGCAACAUCAGAAGAGCAACAAGCCAACCUAUGGGGAUGCAGGACCCCUUGGACACUUGCUACCCUACUUCUGAGGUG